Sapajus apella (tufted capuchin) is the source of this 1554-nucleotide long non-coding RNA. RefSeq lists it as uncharacterized. Lineage: Eukaryota; Metazoa; Chordata; Mammalia; Primates; Cebidae. The record is from RefSeq and is a predicted model, not a curated record. The transcript has 2 exons.
UGCGUCAUCGUGGAAUGCGCCUGCGCGGACCCUGGAAGCCGCAGUCUCAGGCGAGCAGCUGCACCUGAGGUUCAUAAGAACGCCAAAGUACGUUCCUUCACCAACGCUGAGUUGGUCACCGCGCCAAGGCCCCCCGUACUGGGCGGGGCCUCGCUCAUUCGAGUAGCGUCACCUUCGCUUCCUGCUGCGCAGGACCGUUUCCGCUUCUUCUUCUGUGAGUUCCGGUGGAGGCGAGCGCUUCUCAGACGUCAGCUGCGCUCCAAUUGGCGUGCCGAGCCUGUGGAAUCGCUGCCAUGGUGAGUGCGUACGCCGGCCGAGGGACCGGGAAGCUGGAAACUCGGGGUUGCGUCCGCUCCCUAACCUGUUAGAUGGAAGCUUAGACCCUGCGCCGUCUCCUCCGCCGACGUUGGGUCUUAACCGCCCGGCCCUAACUUAGAACUCCAGCAGCGCGGGGUCCCAACAGUCUGGCCUGAGGUUAGAACCCAGGAAAUUUAAGGACCCCCGCUGCUGUGAUCGGAGAUGGUUUGCCGCACGGUCUGUGUGGCCGAAAGCUUGAGGCGCGCGGAGGGGACAUGACCCAGCCAGGGAGAAAGAGACCAACCCACGUGGGAGAGGGCAAAAAGUUGGGCGAAAACAAACUUGGUUCCAUCUUCCCUCCCCUUUUUUCUUUAUGAAAUCUACGAUGGUGGGGGGGAUCUGGGAUUCGGAUCAACCUCUCCUACCCAUCCUACCUCAUCCCACCUCUGUUGCUGGAGUUCAGGAGAAGCAGAUCUCCCGUGGGUCUGCGCCUAGUUCCCGCCGCGAGUUUUACACGUGCCAGAAACAUAGAGCUUUUGGUACUGGGGGGCUGAGGGGAACAUGAAAUGAGCCCGAACCACUGCCUGGAGCACAGGAAAGGCUUCUCCUGCAAGGCAGUGGCUUCCAAAGCCAGAAGCCCUGGUAGCACCACGUGCGGCUUCUCUAAACUCUUGGUGGUCUCCGAAUUUUAAACAUCUAGGGAGAGUUUUAAAACGUGUGUCCUGGCGUAGCUAGCUUCGGUUGGCAUUUGGUGAGGAGGGAAGGGUUUGCAAAGCCAUGUAACUUCUGUAGUUCAUCCUUCCAGCAGGGCUUGGAUCCCGGCGGUAGCACUCCCCAACACCUCCUCCCAUGCAUUGUAAAGCUUAGUACUUGGCUGAGCCUAGAACUUGAAGCUUCCAAACUCAGUGCUCCUCUUAACGUAGUUCGGUGAAACGUUUUCGAAUCGGAUGCUCUCAGGUUGAACUUUGCAGUUUUCCUCCACUGUAAAAUGGGGAUGACAAUGUAUGAGGAUGUUGUGAGGAGCAAAUGAAAUAAAGCAUGCUAAAUACCUAGUCCUCAUGCUUGGUAUGGAGUGAGCAUGCAGUAUUUGUUGUUCAAUCAAAACCGUGCAGGUUUUGACUGUCUGGUGUACUGGGAAACCAAACUGAUCAUUCUAGGUAGGGAUUUAGGUUGUCUGGCGGUAUGAUAUCAUUCAUUCAUUUUUUUAACCUGUGAAGAAAUUGAAAGGUGAAUAAAUAUACCCUAAACAAGUUUCAA